GGUGGCUCAGUGGUAGAGUGCUUGCCUUGAAUGCAUGAAGCCCUAGGUUCGAUUCCUCAGCACCA
RNAcentral lists this transfer RNA (65 nucleotides) under Dipodomys ordii (Ord's kangaroo rat). It matches the Rfam family "tRNA". From Rfam's summary of the family: Transfer RNA (tRNA) molecules are approximately 80 nucleotides in length. Their secondary structure includes four short double-helical elements and three loops (D, anti-codon, and T loops). The record is from Rfam by way of RNAcentral. Lineage: Eukaryota; Metazoa; Chordata; Mammalia; Rodentia; Heteromyidae.